Molecule: non-coding RNA, 21 nt
Filed under: Mus musculus (house mouse)
Lineage: Eukaryota; Metazoa; Chordata; Mammalia; Rodentia; Muridae
Source: RNAcentral
UGGAUUGGCAGGAUCAACAUU